This 231-nucleotide ribosomal RNA is filed under the name Staphylococcus aureus. RNAcentral describes it as "partial 16S ribosomal RNA". It matches the Rfam family "Bacterial small subunit ribosomal RNA", at positions 1 to 221 of the family's 1533-position model. The record is from RNAcentral. Lineage: Bacteria; Bacillati; Bacillota; Bacilli; Caryophanales; Staphylococcaceae.
UUUAUGGAGAGUUUGAUCCUGGCUCAGGAUGAACGCUGGCGGCGUGCCUAAUACAUGCAAGUCGAGCGAACGGACGAGAAGCUUGCUUCUCUGAUGUUAGCGGCGGACGGGUGAGUAACACGUGGAUAACCUACCUAUAAGACUGGGAUAACUUCGGGAAACCGGAGCUAAUACCGGAUAAUAUUUUGAACCGCAUGGUUCAAAAGUGAAAGACGGUCUUGCUGUCACUUA